GACGUCCACUAACAUUCAUGAGUGUGCACAGACCCUUUCCUUACCUCAGUGAUUCCUCAUCCUCUUUCAGAUUGUCCUCGAGCUGUAUGAAUGCCUGAAUCUUGAAAAUAAAUGUGAAUUCAAAUUACUAUUAGAGAGAAAUUAAACCUAGCUUAAUGUUUAAAAUUCAUAUGUCUCUAAAAAGUAGCAAAUAGAGAAAAACAACC
Molecule: long non-coding RNA, 206 nt
Organism: Pipistrellus kuhlii (Kuhl's pipistrelle)
Lineage: Eukaryota; Metazoa; Chordata; Mammalia; Chiroptera; Vespertilionidae
Exons: 2
Source: RefSeq, a predicted model, not a curated record